Long non-coding RNA from Gallus gallus (chicken), 2687 nucleotides. RefSeq lists it as uncharacterized. NCBI's taxonomy places the organism in Eukaryota, Metazoa, Chordata, Aves, Galliformes, Phasianidae. The transcript is spliced from 4 exons. The record is from RefSeq and is a predicted model, not a curated record.
AAAAAAAAGCCUUGUGCAAGGCAAAGCACAAUUAAAUGGUCAGAAAGAAGAACAAUAAUUUCCCUGAUCUUUUUUUUGUUUUCGUUUGGUUUGGUCUGUUUUUUUUUUUUUUAAUCGCCAGCAGGUAAAAACCUCAACUUUAUGUCUCAUUUGAACUACAGAGGCUCUUCAGCUAAAUGAAGAGUCGGCUUAAUGGUUGAUGUGAAACCAUUUAAAUAGCGUUAGGUAAAGUCAUUUGUUCCUUUUGCAUCUCUAUCUUCAGUCUGAAAUGGGCUUAACCUUUGAUCCUAAUCCCUGUGUCACUCGGCUUCAGCUCUGGUCUCAGAAAGUAAAAGUAUCAGUGCUGUGUGUAAGAGGGAAAUAAAAUCUCUGUUCUCUAGAGAAGAAUAUAGAGUUAUUCUGCUACUGACAAUAGCAGACAUAAAACCACGACACAGAUGGUGCAUGAAAAAUGUUUUCUUGGAGAAGCUCUUGAAGGACUGCAGGAACCAGGUGUACAUACAGGAUUUGAGGUGCCUCUAACAUCUCUUGAAGAACUCCAUGAGUUGGCACCAGAAACAUCUUGGAUCCUCUGGAGACUGGAGUGAAGAAUAGCAGCGUCCAGAGUUCAUUCCUUCAUAUGCUGAUGUGACUCUUCCAGAUCAAGCUCAUUCCUACAUGCUAGGAAAAUCAUCUCUACUGUCUUGGUUGCCUAUGUACUGAGUUUCAGUCUGCAGAGGUCUUGUUGCAACAGAUUUUAAGGGGCCUGAGCUAAUAUCCCACCAAGCAAUUGAAACCACUCCUCUCAACUUGAACAUGCAUCGGAUAUGGUCAUGUCAAUCAACUGUCCAUCAGCAUUAUCUUUAUCGUGUUUAUCAUUCAUUCCACUGUCAGAAUGUGACUGCCUGUCCCUGCAAAAAGAAGCAGAGCCAGCAGCUUCAGUGGGGAAGUGAAGAAGCAGCCUGUAUUUGGCCUGCAUUUACAUCCAUCACGGUUCCUCACCUGGAAUGAGCAACUUUUCCAUUUUUAAUUAUGAAAAUAUAUGUAUAUUAUUUAAAUGUGUUGCCCUGUCCCAGUUUUCUUGCUUCAGCACACAAAGGAUAGAUUGGUCUAUAGAGAGGCAGUAUUCAAUAAUCUGGGUAAAGGAGAAGGGAGAAAUGCAGUAACGUUGGUACUGAAAUUGUGUGCAAAUUAAACAAAAAUAAAUAAUUUGUUAAGAUAUUGUACUAUGAUGGAAGAAGUCGUAAGAGAGAAUGAGGUCAUACAUGAAAUGAAAAACAUGUGGGUAUGUUUGUGUUUCAAGUGUCGUACUCUUGAGGUACAAUUCUGAUAAUCCUCCAGAGGAAGACUGAGGGGCCAGAGCCAAGCUUCUGAAACCUGAACACCAUCAGACGUUAACUUUACGGUGGGUUGAACCAGAAACCCACAUCCCAAGCUUCAUCCCAACACAUCUCUGGGACCCAGGUCUCUUUCUAAACUUUCUGCUUCUUAUUUGAAACUUUUACAUUUCUGAAACUUUGACUUCACUUUCUUUCUUUUCCCUGUUGUUCUGUAAAGAGGAACUGCAUAAUUUCAUGAUCACUGAACACUUGUGUUGCUGCUCAGGCAUGGGCAGUUACAAAGGUAAAGCUUUCAUGUUAUAAGCUGGUAUUUCCCUGGGGAGAGAAGAAAGUAUGUUGCCUGUUUGAUGCAAUUUUAUACAUUUUGUUUGCACUCAUUAGAGUCUAAUGGGUAUCAGAUUCUUAUUUCUCUUUAAUAUGAUUUCUCUUGUAUCACCUGUGAUCAUACCAUGAAAUCCCCUGCCCAGGGAAAUGGGGGAAUCACUGUUGCUGGAGGUUUUCAAGAAAAGGGUAUAUGUCACACUGAGGGACGUGAUUUAGUGGGCAUGAUAGUGAUGGGUUGAUGGUUGGACUAGGUGAUCCUAGUGGUCUCUUCCAGCCUUACUGAUUCUAUGAUUCCAUCAUUCAUAAAAGACUUCCUUGUUGCACAGAAAUUGUUGGAUUUCUCCCAGGGAUGAGGAAGGACAGGAAUUUCUAAAAUUCAUGAUAGCAAAAAGGGGUUUGAAACCAUAAUUCAUAUGUCCAGUAGGUUCAGAAAUUAUUUCUAAGCCUAUGAAUGUAUCUCUGACUGUUACAGUGUCUUAACAUGUUAGGUAGGGCAAUCUGACUUUUAAUACCAUGUCACCAUUUUAAAUGAAUACAAAUCACAUCAGAAAUUACCACCAGCUCCCUGCAUCUAUCAGUGCCAGAUUGCCAAAGCAAGCCCAAGAGAAGACAGAGCCCUCCUGAGCCCCAACCAACAUUGCUUAUGUCAUUUCACACCACGCUUCCCAAUGUCAUGUGUACCCCCGGGCAUUCUGCACUCUUCAUGAUGACAACUGAAAGCUUUCAUUGCUUCCAGUGGGAGUGGGCUCUGAUCCCACUCCUAUAAAAUGCAGUUGGUCGCCAUAGAUGGACUACUGGUCUGAACCGGUAUACCAAAUCCCACGUUAGCUUAAAAAACAUUAAAAUGAUAACUUCAUCUCGAGUUACUUUCCUAUUCAUCUAUAGAAUUUCUCAAUUAUGUAUGACUAAUUUUGCACAAAGUCAUUAUUUGGAGCAAUUUGUCUAAGUAUGAGAGGCAACACCUUCAACCUUCCUGCAUGGUGGGUGGGGAAAAUGUCAUAAUCAGUUCUGCUUUGGCAUGAGUUAUUAAGCGGUCACAGGAGU